Molecule: non-coding RNA, 119 nt
Organism: Picea glauca (white spruce)
Lineage: Eukaryota; Viridiplantae; Streptophyta; Pinopsida; Pinales; Pinaceae
Source: Rfam
CGGUGCGAUCAUACUAGCGUUAAUGCACCGGAUCCCAUCAGAACUUCGCAGUUAAGCACGCUUGGGCCAAAGUAGUACUGGGAUGGGUGACCUCCGGGGAAGUCCUGGUGUUGCACCCU